Molecule: ribosomal RNA, 200 nt
Filed under: uncultured bacterium
Lineage: Bacteria
Description: partial 16S ribosomal RNA
Rfam family: Bacterial small subunit ribosomal RNA
Source: RNAcentral
AGAGUUUGAUCAUGGCUCAGGACGAACGCUGGCGGCGUGCUUAACACAUGCAAGUCGAACGAGGUGCUUGCACCUAGUGGCGAACGGGUGAGUAACACGUGAGCAACCUGCCUUGGCUCUGGGAUAGCCUCCGGAAACGGGGAUUAAUACCGGACAUGACCCUCCUCUGCAUGGUGGGGGGUGGAAAGUUUUUCGGCCAG